RNAcentral lists this ribosomal RNA (136 nucleotides) under uncultured bacterium. RNAcentral's name for it is "partial 16S ribosomal RNA". It matches the Rfam family "Bacterial small subunit ribosomal RNA", at positions 356 to 504 of the family's 1533-position model. The record is from RNAcentral.
GGGGAAUAUUGGGCAAUGGGCGCCAGCCUGACCCAGCAACGCCGCGUGGAAAGAAGAAAGCUUUCCGGUUGUAAACUUCUUUUAUCGGGGACGAAACAAAUGACGGUACCCGAUGAAUAAGCCACGGGCUAACUAC